RNAcentral lists this ribosomal RNA (403 nucleotides) under uncultured bacterium. RNAcentral's name for it is "partial 16S ribosomal RNA". It matches the Rfam family "Bacterial small subunit ribosomal RNA", at positions 30 to 526 of the family's 1533-position model. The record is from RNAcentral.
AUUGAACGCUGGCGGCAGGCCUAACACAUGCAAGUCGAGCGAGCGGCGGACGGGUGAGUAAUGUAUGGGGACUGCCCGAUAGAGGGGGGUAACUACUGGAAACGGGAGCUAAUACCGCAUACUAUCGGAUAACCCAUAUGGGAUUCGCUAGUAGGUGAGGUAAUGGCUGACCUAGGCGACGAUCCCUAGCUGGUCUGAGAGGAUGAUCAGCCACACUGGGACUGAGACACGGCCCAGACUCCUACGGAGGCAGCAGUGGGGAAUAUUGCGCAAUGGGCGCAAGCCUGACGCAGCCAUGCCGCGUGUAUGAAGAAGGCCUUAGGGUUGUAAAGUACUUUCAGUCGGGAGGCGUUACCGACAGAAAAAGCACCGGCUAACUCCGUGCCAGCAGCCGCGGUAAUUC